UUCUGUAAGCCUGCGAAGGUGGCCUGUGAGGGUUGCUGGAGGUAUCAGAAGUGCGAAUGCUGACAUAAGUAACGAUAAAGCGGGUGAAAAGCCCGCUCGCCGGAAGACCAAGGGUUCCUGUCCAACGUUAAUCGGGGCAGGGUGAGUCGACCCCUAAGGCGAGGCCGAAAGGCGUAGUCGAUGGGAAACGGGUUAAUAUUCCCGUACUUGGUGUUACUGCGAAGGGGGGACGGAGAAGGCUAUGUUGGCCGGGCGACGGUUGUCCCGGUUUAAGCGUGUAGGUGUGUGUUCCAGGUAAAUCCGGUUCACUUUAACACUGAGGCGUGACGACGAGGCACUACGGUGCUGAAGCAACAAAUGCCCUGCUUCCAGGAAAAGCCUCUAAGCAUCAGGUAACAUCAAAUCGUACCCCAAACCGACACAGGUGGUCAGGUAGAGAAUACCAAGGCGCUUGAGAGAACUCGGGUGAAGGAACUAGGCAAAAUGGUGCCGUAACUUCGGGAGAAGGCACGCUGACACGUAGGUGAAGUGAUUUACUCAUGGAGCUGAAGUCAGUCGAAGAUACCAGCUGGCUGCAACUGUUUAUUAAAAACACAGCACUGUGCAAACACGAAAGUGGACGUAUACGGUGUGACGCCUGCCCGGUGCCGGAAGGUUAAUUGAUGGGGUCAGCGCAAGCGAAGCUCCUGAUCGAAGCCCCGGUAAACGGCGGCCGUAACUAUAACGGUCCUAAGGUAGCGAAAUUCCUUGUCGGGUAAGUUCCGACCUGCACGAAUGGCGUAAUGAUGGCCAGGCUGUCUCCACCCGAGACUCAGUGAAAUUGAACUCGCUGUGAAGAUGCAGUGUACCCGCGGCAAGACGGAAAGACCCCGUGAACCUUUACUAUAGCUUGACACUGAACAUUGAGCCUUGAUGUGUAGGAUAGGUGGGAGGCUUUGAAGUGUGGACGCCAGUCUGCAUGGAGCCGACCUUGAAAUACCACCCUUUAAUGUUUGAUGUUCUAACGUGGACCCGUUACCCGGGUUGCGGACAGUGUCUGGUGGGUAGUUUGACUGGGGCGGUCUCCUCCUAAAGAGUAACGGAGGAGCACGAAGGUUGGCUAAUCCUGGUCGGACAUCAGGAGGUUAGUGCAAUGGCAUAAGCCAGCUUGACUGCGAGCGUGACGGCGCGAGCAGGUGCGAAAGCAGGUCAUAGUGAUCCGGUGGUUCUGAAUGGAAGGGCCAUCGCUCAACGGAUAAAAGGUACUCCGGGGAUAACAGGCUGAUACCGCCCAAGAGUUCAUAUCGACGGCGGUGUUUGGCACCUCGAUGUCGGCUCAUCACAUCCUGGGGCUGAAGUAGGUCCCAAGGGUAUGGCUGUUCGCCAUUUAAAGUGGUACGCGAGCUGGGUUUAGAACGUCGUGAGACAGUUCGGUCCCUAUCUGCCGUGGGCGCUGGAGAACUGAGGGGGGCUGCUCCUAGUACGAGAGGACCGGAGUGGACGCAUCACUGGUGUUCGGGUUGUCAUGCCAAUGGCACUGCCCGGUAGCUAAAUGCGGAAGAGAUAAGUGCUGAAAGCAUCUAAGCACGAAACUUGCCCCGAG
RNAcentral lists this ribosomal RNA (1582 nucleotides) under Salmonella enterica subsp. enterica serovar Enteritidis. Its description in RNAcentral is "partial 23S ribosomal RNA". It matches the Rfam family "Bacterial large subunit ribosomal RNA", at positions 1239 to 2803 of the family's 2925-position model. The record is from RNAcentral. Lineage: Bacteria; Pseudomonadati; Pseudomonadota; Gammaproteobacteria; Enterobacterales; Enterobacteriaceae.